This 75-nucleotide transfer RNA is filed under the name Candidatus Daviesbacteria bacterium. RNAcentral describes it as "tRNA-Arg". It matches the Rfam family "tRNA". From Rfam's summary of the family: Transfer RNA (tRNA) molecules are approximately 80 nucleotides in length. Their secondary structure includes four short double-helical elements and three loops (D, anti-codon, and T loops). The record is from RNAcentral. Lineage: Bacteria; Candidatus Daviesiibacteriota.
GUCCCUGUAGGCUAACGGAUAAACCUCGAGAUUGCGGAUCUCGUAAUGCGGGUUCGAUUCCCGCCGGGGGCGCCA